UUUCGCCUUCCACGUGUAGAAUUGAUAAGUAACAUGAUAAUGAAUGUCAAAUUAUUACAACAAAACAACUAUAUUGCUCCUGCAUCGUCUCCAAAAAACUCAAACUCUAUGAUUUAUACGUUUUCGCUAACCUACUAAUUGAUUUAUACUCUUCACACUAAUUUAGAUUAUUAACCAAGAGAACUAGCUAUCACCAUUUCUAAAUCCACUAUUUGUUUUCUUUUAAAACUCAAUGCUGAAAGGAGAUUAACAGAGACGACAUCUAUGGCAACUUAUGCGUUCUCCUGCAGAUGUAAUACGUGCUCACGUUCGGCACCCAAAUGCCCGUAGACCAUGGUCAAGGUGAGGGACGACGUAAACCUUCCCAUCUAUCAGGGUGAAAACAUCAACGACAAGACAUUUGACGAGAAGAGUCAUGUCUUGGACCCAUACAAGAUGCUUUAGGAGUACACCCAAUUCACUGUCAUGCUCAACCUACUCUACGCCUUCUCCACCGGCGGCUACUCCAACAUUCAGCGCGUCACGCAGUGGAAACUUGAUGUCACCGAACAUAGCAAGUAGGGUGACAUGUGAAAUAAAAUCUUCCAUUCACCGAGUUGAUUUAUUCUAUAAUUUUAUUGCUUGACCACAAUAGCCUUAGGAUUUAUUGUCUGACCAUAUUUUUUCACUAUGAAAGACGUGGCGUAUAGUCAUAGUAAGAGUUCAAUAAAAUUUCCUGUU
Molecule: long non-coding RNA, 720 nt
Organism: Zea mays
Lineage: Eukaryota; Viridiplantae; Streptophyta; Magnoliopsida; Poales; Poaceae
Exons: 2
Source: RefSeq, a predicted model, not a curated record